AAACGUAGGAGGCUAGCGUUAUCCGGAUUUAUUGGGCGUAAAGCGCGUGCAGGCGGUUUAUCAAGUUGGAUGUGAAAGCUCCCGGCUUAACUGGGAGAGGUCGUUCAAAACUGAUAGACUAGAGAAUGGUAGAGGGAGGUGGAAUUCCGGGUGUAGUGGUGAAAUGCGUAGAUAUCCGGAGGAACACCAGUGGCGAAAGCGGCCUCCUGGGCCAUUUCUGACGCUAAGACGCGAAAGCUAGGGUAGCAAACGGGAUUAGAGACCCCGGUAGUCCUAGCCGUAAACGAUGUGGACUUGGCGUUGGCGGAGUUAAAUCUGCCAGUGCCGUAGCUAACGCGAUAAGUCCACCGCCUGGGGACUACGACCGCAAGGUUAAA
Molecule: ribosomal RNA, 377 nt
Filed under: uncultured bacterium
Lineage: Bacteria
Description: bacterial SSU rRNA
Rfam family: Bacterial small subunit ribosomal RNA
Source: RNAcentral